RNAcentral lists this transfer RNA (80 nucleotides) under Sphenostylis stenocarpa. RNAcentral's name for it is "tRNA gene-AYBTSS11_LOCUS1925". It matches the Rfam family "tRNA". From Rfam's summary of the family: Transfer RNA (tRNA) molecules are approximately 80 nucleotides in length. Their secondary structure includes four short double-helical elements and three loops (D, anti-codon, and T loops). Lineage: Eukaryota; Viridiplantae; Streptophyta; Magnoliopsida; Fabales; Fabaceae. The record is from RNAcentral.
GUUGGGAUGACCGAGUUGGUCUAAGGCGCCAGAUUAAGGUUCUGUCCGAAAGGGCGUGGGUUCAAAUCCCACUCUCAACA